Frankliniella occidentalis (western flower thrips) is the source of this 1875-nucleotide long non-coding RNA. RefSeq lists it as uncharacterized. The record is from RefSeq and is a predicted model, not a curated record. The transcript is spliced from 2 exons. Lineage: Eukaryota; Metazoa; Arthropoda; Insecta; Thysanoptera; Thripidae.
UAUUUAUUUUUUUCAAAUAUUUUUUUAUGGGCUUCUAAGGGGUAACUCGUGAAAGUAGAUACCUUUGGACAAAAAUUUUGUCCGUUUUGCUCUAUCUCGCACCGUUUGGGUGCUAGGGAGCAUUUCUUGGCGAAAUUGAGGUGAAAACGACAAAGUGGUCUAUUAAAUCGUAAAAUAUAACUCGUCUGGGGUGUCAGCGCCGCAGGCCUAGCUAUAUGUGCGCCAGGCGCGUCGCAGCGUAACAGUGUUUCGUGAUAUAUCGCGAAGCCUGUUACGCGAGACGUGGUCUGGCGUACAUAUAGCUAGUUACUUUAAAAUUAGGGAAAUGAAACUUCUGCUGUUCGGUAACGGUUUUCAUUAAAAGUUCGAAUUUUGACAGAUUGUAAUGUAAAAAUCAACGUUUUAGAGAUACUAGAUGAUCUAGGGACCCUUAUAAGCCCAAAAAAGAGUGUGGUUCGACCCGUAAUGUGUGGUUGAAGAAUUACUCCCUUUACAAUUCAGUGACAUGGAGCCUUUUUUACGAUUUAAUAGACCAUUUUGUCUUUUUCACGUUGUUUUCGCCGAGAAGUUCCCCAUAGCGCCAAACCGGUACAAGAUAGAGCAAAACGGACGAAAUUUUCGUCUUGAGGGUUCUACUUACACAAGUAACCACAUAGAAACACAUCAAAAAAUGUUUGAAAAACAAUUAUUUUGCAGCCUGUGGUUUUUUUUUUUUUUAAAAAGUCAAUUUUUAAACUAGAAUGCUCAUCGUCGAACUCGAUCUGUCUUUAUAUGAUACAAAACGACCCUGAAAUUCCCAGAUCGCUCUCUCAAUUCUUUCUCGAGUUAUCGUGCGGACAAACAGACUGACAAACAAAGCAGAAUGCAACUUUUCCGGUCAGUAAAGUUAUGGGCUUCGCUAAUCGCCCAGAGAUUUAUGGAUGCAAUUAAGCACAUAGUCACAGAGACAUGAUAUUCUUGGAUCACUGCUGGAGCGGAAAUUAUCAUCAGCAGGCUUCCUUCAGCAAGUUAUCGGUUUAAGGCUAUGUCAUAAAGGCUGCAGAUUUGGUUUGCCUCAGAGCCCUGCACGGAGCGAGCAUCGGAUGCCUACAUGGCGUCGAAAGCGGUUGUGGGAGCGAGAAGCUCGCGCCGGGCCAUAGCUCCCUCUCACUCCGAUUCGCUUUCGCACGCCAUGUAGGCAUCCGAUGCUCGCUCGGUGCAGGGCUCUGGUUUGCCUUCCCUGCCUUUAAAGUGCAAGACGCAAAAAUAUGAUUCACUCAAAGCUAAUCCCACUGUAUUAAAUAUGUGUUUCCAGGAAAACAGCAUCUGGAAACGACCUUCUCGCAUCUAUCUUUACCAUAGCGCUUGGAAGCGACGCCAAUCUCGAUUUCCUGGAAAAACUAGCAAUCAACAACGGUGGCAAAGCUCGACAAGUUUACGAAGCCUCCGACGCUUCACUUCAACUGCAAGAUUUCUAUCAGGCCAUUGCUUCGCCUCUUCUUAAAAAUGUUUCCGUAAUAUUCAACUACCAGCAGGCGGAGGAGCCCAGCCUCACGCAGACGGACUUCCGCACGUACUUCUGGGGCUCAGAACUUGUUGUCGCCGGCCGUCUUCUGCCAGGCGAGAACCAGCUGAGUGGAGUCGUCACUGCUCUCGCAGCUGGCGGCCAGGUUGUCAGCUAUGCCAUCCAGGUGAAUGCGCCGUUAAUAGUGUUGUAGGAUAUCAGAGCGACUCUUAGAUCUAGCGUUUCUAGAUUGUACUUUGUAAAAUAACUUUUGUUUAUUUUUCUUACUUGUAAGAAAAUUUAAAUUAUUAGAAAAAUAGGUUGUUUCUUACACUUUAAUUCCGUGUGGAUGAUUUUUAGAACGGAAAACUUUUAUAAGGAUUUUUAUUGAA